UACGGAGGAUCCGAGCGUUAUCCGGAUUUAUUGGGUUUAAAGGGUGCGCAGGCGGGAGAUUAAGUCGGCGGUGAAAUUUUGCAGCUCAACUGUAAAAGUGCCUUCGAAACUGGUUUCCUUGAGUGUAGAUGAAGUAGGCGGAAUUUGUGGUGUAGCGGUGAAAUGCAUAGAUAUCACGAGGAACUCCGAUUGCGCAGGCAGCUUACUAAACUACUACUGACGCUCAGGCACGAAGGCGUGGGGAUCAAACAGGAUUAGAUAUCCCGGUA
This 269-nucleotide ribosomal RNA is filed under the name uncultured prokaryote. RNAcentral describes it as "partial 16S ribosomal RNA". It matches the Rfam family "Bacterial small subunit ribosomal RNA", at positions 524 to 792 of the family's 1533-position model. The record is from RNAcentral.